Molecule: ribosomal RNA, 371 nt
Filed under: uncultured bacterium
Lineage: Bacteria
Description: bacterial SSU rRNA
Rfam family: Bacterial small subunit ribosomal RNA
Source: RNAcentral
GGAGGGUGCGAGCGUUGUUCGGAAUUACUGGGCGUAAAGCGCGUGUAGGCGGCCUUGCAAGUCAGGCGUGAAAGCCUUCGGCUUAACCGGGGAAGUGCGUCUGAAACUGCUUGGCUUGAGUACUGGAGAGGGAGGCGGAAUUCCCAGUGUAGAGGUGAAAUUCGUAGAUAUUGGGAGGAACACCGGUGGCGAAAGCGGCCUCCUGGACCGAUACUGACGCUGAGACGCGAAAGCGUGGGGAGCAAACAGGAUUAGAUACCCUGGUAGUCCACGCGGUAAACGAUGGGCACUAGGUGUGGGGGGUAUCCACUCCUCCCGUGCCGAAGCUAACGCAUUAAGUGCCCCGCCUGGGGAGUACGGCCGCAAGGUUA